GACCUCAAAUCAGGUAGGACCACCCGCUGAACUUAAGCAUAUCAAUAAGCGGAGGAAAAGAAACUAACCAGGAUUCCCUUAGUAACUGCGAGUGAAGUGGGAAGAGCUCAAAUUUGUAAUCUGGCGGCCUUUGGACGUCCGAGUUGUAAUCUAAAGAAGUGCUACCUGUGCUGGACCGUGUACAAGUCUUCUGGAAUGGAGCAUCACAGAGGGUGAGAAUCCCGUCUUUGACAUGGACUGCCAGUGCUCAAUAGGUGUGCUCUCGAAGAGUCGAGUUGUUUGGGAAUGCAGCUCAAAAUGGGUGGUAAAUGCCAUCUAAAGCUAAAUAUUGGCGAGAGACCGAUAGCGAACAAGUACCGUGAGGGAAAGAUGAAAAGAACUUUGGAAAGAGAGUUAAACAGUACGUGAAAUUGCUGAAAGGGAAACGCUUGAAGUCAGUCGCGUCUGUCAGGAAUCAACCUUGCUCUUGCUGGGUGUACUUUCUGUCGGAUGGGUCAGCAUCAGUUUCGGUCGCUGGACAAAGUUCUUUGGGAAUGUGGCAUCCUCGGAUGUGUUAUAGCCCUUGGGACACAUGCAGCGGUCGGGAUUGAGGAACUCAGCACGCCC
RNAcentral lists this ribosomal RNA (606 nucleotides) under uncultured fungus. Its description in RNAcentral is "eukaryotic LSU rRNA". It matches the Rfam family "Eukaryotic large subunit ribosomal RNA", at positions 1 to 607 of the family's 3401-position model. The record is from RNAcentral. Lineage: Eukaryota; Fungi.